UCCUACGGGGCGCAGCAGUGGGGAAUAUUGCACAAUGGGGGGAACCCUGAUGCAGCGACGCCGCGUGAGCGAUGAAGUAUUUCGGUAUGUAAAGCUCUAUCAGCAGGGAAGAAAAUGACGGUACCUGACUAAGAAGCCCCGGCUAACUACGUGCCAGCAGCCGCGGUAAUACGUAGGGGGCAAGCGUUAUCCGGAUUUACUGGGUGUAAAGGGAGCGUAGACGGCUGUACAAGUCUGGAGUGAAAGGCAUGGGCUCAACCUGUGGACUGCUUUGGAAACUGUGCGGCUUGAGUGUCGGAGAGGCA
Molecule: ribosomal RNA, 305 nt
Filed under: uncultured bacterium
Lineage: Bacteria
Description: bacterial SSU rRNA
Rfam family: Bacterial small subunit ribosomal RNA
Source: RNAcentral